CGGGGUGCAGCAGGCGCGAAAACUUUACAAUGCUGGCAACAGCGAUAAGGGGACCUCGAGUGCCAGGAUACAAUCUUGGCUGUCGCGAUGCCUAAAAAGCAUUGCAUAGCAAGGGCCGGGCAAGACCGGUGCCAGCCGCCGCGGUAACACCGGCGGCUCGAGUGGUAACCGCUAUUAUUGGGUCUAAAGGGUCUGUAGCCGGCCGGAUAAGUCUUUUGGGAAAUCCAGCUGCUCAACAGUUGGGCUUUCAGAAGAUACUGUUCGGCUCGAGACCGGGAGAGGUGAGAGGUACUUCAGGGGUAGGGGUGAAAUCUUGUAAUCCUUGAAGGACCACCAGUGGCGAAGGCGUCUCACCAGAACGGAUCUGACGGCAAGGGACGAAAGCUAGGGGCACGAACCGGAUUAGAUACCCGGGUAGUCCUAGCCGUAAACGAUACUCGCUAGGUGUCAGCCACGGUGCGACCGUGGUUGGUGCCGUAGGGAAGCCGUGAAGCGAGCCACCUGGGAAGUACGGCCGCAAGGCUGAAACUUAAAGGAAUUGGCGGGGGAGCACAAGGGC
This 559-nucleotide ribosomal RNA is filed under the name uncultured archaeon. Its description in RNAcentral is "bacterial SSU rRNA". It matches the Rfam family "Archaeal small subunit ribosomal RNA", at positions 326 to 885 of the family's 1478-position model. The record is from RNAcentral.